RNAcentral lists this ribosomal RNA (253 nucleotides) under uncultured bacterium. Its description in RNAcentral is "partial 16S ribosomal RNA". It matches the Rfam family "Bacterial small subunit ribosomal RNA", at positions 524 to 776 of the family's 1533-position model. The record is from RNAcentral.
UACGUAGGUGACCAGCGUUGUCCGGAUUUACUGGGCGUAAAGCGCACGUAGGCGGAUCGAUCAGUCAGGGGUGAAAUCCCAGAGCUCAACUCUGGAACUGCCUUUGAUACUGUCGAUCUGGAGUAUGGAAGAGGUGAGUGGAAUUCCGAGUGUAGAGGUGAAAUUCGUAGAUAUUCGGAGGAACACCAGUGGCGAAGGCGGCUCACUGGUCCAUUACUGACGCUGAGGUGCGAAAGCGUGGGGAGCAAACAGG